UAACGGCGAGUGAAGCGGGAAGAAGCUCAACUUUGAAAGCUGGUACCUUUGGUGCCCGCGUUGUAACCUCGAGACGCGUUUUCCGUGCGGCGCUAUGGACAAGUUCCUUGGAACAGGACAUCGUAGAGGGUGAAAAUCCCCGUACUUGCCAUGGAUGUACCGUGCUUUGUGAUACGCGCUCCAAGAGUCGAGUUGUUUGGGAUUGCAGCUCAAAAUGGGUGGUAGACUCCAUCUAAAGCUAAAUAUCGGGGAGAGACCGAUAGCGAACAAGUACCGUGAGGGAAAGAUGAAAAGCACUUUGGAAAGAGAGUUAAAAGUACGUGAAAUUGUCGAAAGGGAAGCGCUUGAAGUCAGCCAUGCCGCUCAGGACUCAGCUUGGUUUUUGCCGAGUGUAUUUCCUGGGUAGCAAGUCAGCAUUGGUUUGGUGCGUCGGAGAAGCAUCCUGGGAAUGUAGCGCCCUCGGGCGUGUUAUAGCCUAGGAUUGGAUACGACGUGCUAGACCAAGGAACGCAGCGCGCCUUUUGGCGGGUCUUCGGACACCUUCGCGCUUAGGAUGCUGGCGUAAUGGCUUUAAGUGGCCCGUCUUGAAACACGGACCAAGGAGUCUAACAUAUGUGCGAGUUUUUGGGUGGCAAACCCAUAAGCGGAAUGAAAGUGAAUGCAGGUGGGAUCCGUAAGGAGCACCAUCGACCGGCCCGGAUCUUUUGGGAUGGGUCUGAGUAAGAGCAUAUCUGUUGGGACCCGAAAGAUGGUGAACUAUGCCUGAAUAGGGCGAAGCCAGAGGAAACUCUGGUGGAGGCUCGCAGCGGUUUCUGACGUGCAAAUCG
Molecule: ribosomal RNA, 827 nt
Filed under: Malassezia yamatoensis
Lineage: Eukaryota; Fungi; Basidiomycota; Malasseziomycetes; Malasseziales; Malasseziaceae
Description: LSU rRNA
Rfam family: Eukaryotic large subunit ribosomal RNA
Source: RNAcentral